RNAcentral lists this ribosomal RNA (705 nucleotides) under Chersobius boulengeri (Donner-weer tortoise). RNAcentral's name for it is "partial 12S ribosomal RNA". It matches the Rfam family "Bacterial small subunit ribosomal RNA", at positions 335 to 1389 of the family's 1533-position model. The record is from RNAcentral. Lineage: Eukaryota; Metazoa; Chordata; Testudines; Testudinidae.
ACCCCCAAGGGCAUCCCAGCAGUGAUAAAAAUUAAGCAAAUAAGCGCAAGCUUGACUUAGUUAUAGCAAAGAGAGUUGGUCAACCUUGUGCCAGCCGCCGCGGUUAUACAAGAAACUCAAACCAACAGAAAACCGGCGUAAAAUGUGACUAAAACAAUUAUCUAAAAAAUUAAGGAAAACCAUGUACUCAACUGUCAUACGUAAAAGUACACAAUAACCCCAAUAUGAAAAUAACCUUAAUGUAAAUAGAACUAUUUGAACCCACGAUCGCUAAGAUACAAACUCGGAUUAGAUACCCCACUAUGCUUAGCCAUAAACAGAUAUUUCACACACAAAAAUAUCCGCCAGAGAACUACGAGCAAAACGCUUAAAACUCUAAAGACUUGGCGGUGCCUUAAACCCCCCUAGAGGAGCCUGUUCUAUAAUCGAUAAUCCACGAUUCACCUCACCAUCUCUUGCCAAUACCGCCUAUAUACCUCCGUCACCAGCCUACCCUGUGAGGGAUAUAAAAGUAAGCAAAAUAACAAAUCAACAGUUAACAAGUCAGGUCAAGGUGUAGCUAACUGAGAUGGAAGAAAUGGGCUACAUUUUCUAAACUAGAAAUUAUCUCACGGAAAGAACUAUGAAACAAGUCCUAUAAGUAGGAUUUAGCAGUAAAUAGGGAUCAGAAUGCCCAAUUUAAGCCGGUCCUAAGGCACGCACACA